GACGAACGCUGGCGGCGUGCUUAACACAUGCAAGUCGAACGGAAAGGCCCUGCUUUUGUGGGGUGCUCGAGUGGCGAACGGGUGAGUAACACGUGAGUAACCUGCCCUUGACUUUGGGAUAACUUCAGGAAACUGGGGCUAAUACCGGAUAGGAGCUCCUGCUGCAUGGUGGGGGUUGGAAAGUUUCGGCGGUUGGGGAUGGACUCGCGGCUUAUCAGCUUGUUGGUGGGGUAGUGGCUUACCAAGGCUUUGACGGGUAGCCGGCCUGAGAGGGUGACCGGCCACAUUGGGACUGAGAUACGGCCCAGACUCCUACGGGAGGCAGCAGUGGGGAAUAUUGCACAAUGGGCGGAGGCCUGAUGCAGCAACGCCGCGUGCGGGAUGACGGCCUUCGGGUUGUAAACCGCUUUCGCCUGUGACGAAGCGUGAGUGACGGUAAUGGGUAAAGAAGCGCCGGCUAACUACGUG
This 468-nucleotide ribosomal RNA is filed under the name uncultured bacterium. RNAcentral describes it as "partial 16S ribosomal RNA". It matches the Rfam family "Bacterial small subunit ribosomal RNA", at positions 28 to 507 of the family's 1533-position model. The record is from RNAcentral.